RNAcentral lists this small RNA (109 nucleotides) under Salmonella enterica subsp. enterica serovar Thompson. Its description in RNAcentral is "partial RtT sRNA". It matches the Rfam family "RtT RNA", at positions 1 to 108 of the family's 130-position model. From Rfam's summary of the family: This family represents a bacterial cis-regulatory element known as RtT RNA. The exact function of RtT is unknown although it is thought that it may be involved in changing the cellular response in relation to amino acid starvation. The record is from RNAcentral. Lineage: Bacteria; Pseudomonadati; Pseudomonadota; Gammaproteobacteria; Enterobacterales; Enterobacteriaceae.
AUAUCUCUCCGUACGGGAAGGAUGAGAAGCUUCGACCAAGGUUCGAUUCGAGCGCAGCGAGAAAGCGUUGCCGCAGGCAACGACCCGAAGGGCGAAGCGCGCAGCGCUG